This 69-nucleotide transfer RNA is filed under the name Marmota marmota marmota (Alpine marmot). It matches the Rfam family "tRNA". Rfam says of the family: Transfer RNA (tRNA) molecules are approximately 80 nucleotides in length. Their secondary structure includes four short double-helical elements and three loops (D, anti-codon, and T loops). The record is from Rfam by way of RNAcentral. Lineage: Eukaryota; Metazoa; Chordata; Mammalia; Rodentia; Sciuridae. RNAcentral also lists the same sequence under 1 other name.
GGCAUUGUGGCUCAGUGGUAGAGUACUUGCCUAGCAUUCAUGAGGCACUGUAUUUGAUUCUCAGUGCCG